This 1824-nucleotide long non-coding RNA is filed under the name Homo sapiens (human). Its description in RNAcentral is "HSALNT0030927". Lineage: Eukaryota; Metazoa; Chordata; Mammalia; Primates; Hominidae. The record is from RNAcentral.
GCAAUCAUGUAAUUGAGGAUUCUCACAAAAAGAUUACAGCCCAAAUUAAAUUCCUGUACGAGGAACUUGGACUUGACAGCACCAGUGUUUUCGAGGAUCUUAAGAAAUACCUGAAAUUCUGAAACACUGCAUUCAACUGGGAAUUGGAAACACACUGAAAUAUUUCAUAGUCUUACUUCCAAUUGAGUUAGCAAAAAAAAAAUUAAUAACUUGAGACUUUUAAGUUAUUAAUUUUUUAAAAUGUGCUUCUCCAUCUAAAUUUUGCUUAGUCUACAUCUCACUUGCUUAUACUAUUCUCUCCAUUGAUGCACAUGCCCAUUAACCUAGGAAAGUAAUUUUCAAAUCAUGCUCCUUAGAAGGAUGUGGAGUAGAGGGAAGGGAAGGAUUGGUGAUAGCAGAGCUCCAGGCCUCCCUUCCAGUCAGAACAGUUGAGCAGUUUACAAAUUAGUGUCCUGCCUCUUUGCUAGCAAAUGCUUUUAGACACUGUGGCAGUGAGUCAUCCUCUAAUUUCUAUGACUGCAUUUUAAGGGAAAAGAUAAAAUUCUUCCCCUUAAAAUUCGUUAAAGUUUUUGAAUAAUCUGGGGUCCUAAUGUGUUCUGGUCAUCCCUGAUUGAUGCUAUCUGAAUAAAGUUAUAAGCUCCUAUAAGCCAUAAUUUACUUUUAAACAUUUUAUUUUUUUCAAAACAUUUGAGAACCUUUCUUAAAGCAGUUACAUUCAAGCUACAGAAAUAUCGAAGAAUUAAUGAUUGUUCACCAAGCAGCAUGCUGUACAUGAAGCUAUUACAAAUGCUUACAAUCCCACUGAAAUGCCAGUGUCUUCAUCUCUUCAUAAAGGUGCCUAACACGAGGUAUACAGUAUGUUCAGUACACUGGAAUAGCAUGCUCGAUUGGAAACAAAGCAUCUAUCUCUGAAAGCUGUUUGGCGAUGAAGGAGAUUCUUCGUGUUGUGUUCAAAGAUGAGUCCCUCUCCCUUGUCCAGAAAAAUGCCACUUGUAUCAACUUUACUGCCUUUGUCGGCAGAAUUGGUACUUAACCUUAUUCUCAUUUUAGCGGGAAGGCCCGAAAUCAUAUUAUGUAGAUUUAACAGUGUUGAUUCUCCAAAAUUCAGAACCACGAUAAAGAUUCUGUCGAUGCCAUCCAGCUCUCUUGUGUACACAACAUAGUGGCUGUCAUUCCUCAAAUGGCAAAACCAGCCCCUGUUGAGGAGUAGCUCAUUGGCAUGAAGUAGACUUAAAUCUUGAUAUAACUUCAAAGCCGAUCUGGGCUGAGUCUUUUGGACCUAUUUUUUUAAAAAAGUAUUUACGUAAGUGUUUGAUUCUAAGAAUUGUUUGUAAGUAUUUUUAAUAUAUUGUAAGGAGUUAUUUACCCAAAACACUUGCUCCAAUUUUGCCCCUUAUAAUUGCCAAAUUGUAAGCAUCAAUAAGUAGGUAAGAACAAUUUAUAUAAAAACUGAUAGAAAUGACAAAUUCGGGGUUUCGGCUUGUCUGGGAGUCAAUAAGUACGCACAGUGCUCUGCUACAUUGUAGAGUUUCUGUAGAGAUCAAAUUUGACUCCACUUUAGGAGUCCCAAAGCAAAUGUCCAUGUCUAAGAUGAAUAUUUAACUUGCAUAGUCAUUCUGUGCUAUAUUGUAACUGCCAGAUGGCCAGAAAGAAGGCAACAGUGGACUCAGACUUCUGAGGAAUUUGGGUUUGUUCCCCUUUGUAGACUAAUGUGUAGGUUGCUGUUGUGCGAAGAUCGUGUAACUUUAGCAGACAUGUAUUUCUUGCACAGCUAAUAGAAGACAAAGUUGAAAAAAAGGAUGCAAAAUAAAAAGCUGCCUAAGG